Molecule: ribosomal RNA, 1206 nt
Filed under: Klebsiella variicola
Lineage: Bacteria; Pseudomonadati; Pseudomonadota; Gammaproteobacteria; Enterobacterales; Enterobacteriaceae
Description: bacterial SSU rRNA
Rfam family: Bacterial small subunit ribosomal RNA
Source: RNAcentral
GCAUCGCAAGACCAAAGUGGGGGACCUUCGGGCCUCAUGCCAUCAGAUGUGCCCAGAUGGGAUUAGCUAGUAGGUGGGGAAACGGCUCACCUAGGCGACGAUCCCUAGCUGGUCUGAGAGGAUGACCAGCCACACUGGAACUGAGACACGGUCCAGACUCCUACGGGAGGCAGCAGUGGGSAAUAUUGCACAAUGGGCGCAAGCCUGAUGCAGCCAUGCCGCGUGUGUGAAGAAGGCCUUCGGGUUGUAAAGCACUUUCAGCGGGGAGGAAGGCGUUAAGGUUAAUAACCUUUUCGAUUGACGUUACCCGCAGAAGAAGCACCGGCUAACUCCGUGCCAGCAGCCGCGGUAAUACGGGAGGGUGGAAGCGUUAAUCGGAAUUACUGGGCGUAAAGCGCACGCAGGCGGUCUUGUCAAGUCGGAUGUGAAAUCCCCGGGCUCAACCUGGGAACUGCAUUCGAAACUGGCAGGCUAGAGUCUUGUAGAGGGGGGUAGAAUUCCAGGUGUAGCGGUGAAAUGCGUAGAGAUCUGGAGGAAUACCGGUGGCGAAGGCGGCCCCCUGGCCAAAGACUGACGCUCAAGUGCGAAAGCGUUGGGGAGCAAACAGGAUUAGAUACCCUGGUAGUCCACGCUGUAAAAGAUGUCGAUUUGGAGGUUGUGCCCUUGAGGGGUUGGCUUCCGGAGCUAACGCGUUAAAUCGACCGCCUGGGGAGUACGGCCGCAAGGUUAAAACUCAAAUGAAUUGACGGGGGCCCGCACAAGCGGUGGAGCAUGUGGUUUAAUUCGAUGCAACGCGAAGAACCUUACCUGGUCUUGACAUCCACAGAACUUUCCAGAGAUGGAUUGGUGCCUUCGGGAACUGUGAGACAGGUGCUGCAUGGCUUUCGUCAGCUCGUGUUGUGAAAUGUUGGGUUAAGUCCCCGCAACGAGCGCAACCCUUAUCCUUUGUUGCCAGCGGUUAGGCCGGGAACUCAAAGGAGACUGCCAAGUGAUAAACUGGAGGAAGGUGGGGAUGACGUCAAGUCAUCAUGGCCCUUACGACCAGGCCUACACACGUUGCUACAAUGGCAUAUACAAAGAGAAGCGACCUCGCGAGAGCAAGCGGACCUCAUAAAGUAUGUCGUAGUCCGGAUUGGAGUCUGCAACUCGACUCCAUGAAGUCGGAAUCGCUAGUAAUCGUAGAUCAAAUAUGCCUACCGGUGAAUA